RNAcentral lists this ribosomal RNA (253 nucleotides) under uncultured bacterium. RNAcentral's name for it is "partial 16S ribosomal RNA". It matches the Rfam family "Bacterial small subunit ribosomal RNA", at positions 524 to 776 of the family's 1533-position model. The record is from RNAcentral.
GACGAACCGUGCGAACGUUGUUCGGAAUCACUGGGCUUAAAGGGCGCGUAGGCGGGCCGGCAAGUCAGGGGUGAAAUCUUCCAGCUCAACUGGAAAAGGGCCUUUGAUACUGUCGGCCUCGAGGGAGGUAGGGGCAUGCGGAACUUCCGGUGGAGCGGUGAAAUGCGUAGAUAUCGGAAGGAACGCCGGUGGCGAAAGCGGCGUGCUGGACAUCUUCUGACGCUGAGGCGCGAAAGCUAGGGGAGCAAACGGG